GUAAGUCUGCCAUCUACUGGCACGAAACGGAUUGUUUAUCCUGACGGUUGAGAACACAUGUGGCGUCGUCUGCACCUUAUCUGACUGAAGAUGAUGUCGAUCCAGCACUCGGGUGAUAGAGGUGAAGUUCCAAGCCAGCAGAGACAGACUUCGGCUGACAGAGUCUAGAAGAGGCGACGAGCCCCCGCCGUGCCUCCCCAGCCUGCCCACAGCCGAUCGAUAGCGGUGGAGAUGGAGAUGCAGGUUUUUAUUAUCUUCGUCGGGAAGAGACAGGAGCCAUUUGGAGAAAACUAAUGCAGCCGACUUACAGGAAUCACAACUUUUCUGACUACAUCGCCGGAUCACUGAAAAAGAGAAAAAGUUGACAAUUUCACACAAAUUGGGACAUGGAGUGGCAUGCGUUGUUAUAGUCUUUUGACAAUUGUGCUAUAACGUUCUGUUAAUUCCCUCGAGUGUGCAGCAUUGCAUUGAGCCUAUGUAAGUAUGACAAAUAUGCAUUAUUGAAAAUCCAAUGUGUCUUUCUCUAGUCUGUUUCUUUAAAAAAAAAGUGUUAGUUUUUCAAUGUUUUCAGAGUAUA
Molecule: long non-coding RNA, 577 nt
Organism: Paramisgurnus dabryanus
Lineage: Eukaryota; Metazoa; Chordata; Actinopteri; Cypriniformes; Cobitidae
Source: RefSeq, a predicted model, not a curated record